UAACACCGGCGGCUCGAGUGGUAACCGUUAUUAUUGGGUCUAAAGGGUCUGUAGCCGGCCGGAUAAGUCUCUUGAGAAAUCUGGCAGCUUAACUGUCAGGCUUUCAGGAGAUACUGUCUGGCUCGAGGCCGGGAGAGGUGAGAGGUACUUCAGGGGUAGGGGUGAAAUCUUGUAAUCCUUGAAGGACCACCAGUGGCGAAGGCGUCUCACCAGAACGGACCUGACGGCAAGGGACGAAAGCUAGGGGCACGAACCGG
This 257-nucleotide ribosomal RNA is filed under the name uncultured bacterium. RNAcentral describes it as "partial 16S ribosomal RNA". It matches the Rfam family "Archaeal small subunit ribosomal RNA", at positions 471 to 727 of the family's 1478-position model. The record is from RNAcentral.